RNAcentral lists this ribosomal RNA (244 nucleotides) under uncultured bacterium. RNAcentral describes it as "partial 16S ribosomal RNA". It matches the Rfam family "Bacterial small subunit ribosomal RNA", at positions 15 to 253 of the family's 1533-position model. The record is from RNAcentral.
GAUCAUGGCUCAGGAUGAACGCUAGCGACAGGCUUAACACAUGCAAGUCGAGGGGCAUCAUGAGGUAGCAAUACCUUGAUGGCGACCGGCGCACGGGUGAGUAACGCGUAUGCAACCUGCCCGAUACCGGGGGUAUAGCCCAUGGAAACGUGGAUUAACACCCCCAUAGUACUUUUAUCCUGCCUGGGAUGGGAGUUAAAUGUUCAAGGUAUCGGAUGGGCAUGCGUCCUAUUAGUUAGUUGGG